AAGACGAAAAAGAAUCGAUCUAGCAGAUCAGGGAAGACGAAAAAGAAUCGAUCUAGCAAAUCAGGGAAGACGAAAAAGAAUCGAUCUAGUAGAAAUCCCAAUCGAUCUAGCACGAUCUGGAGAUUUCGAUUUGAAAAUCGAUCGCGAUCUGCAAAUGUGUCUUCCGUCAGAGUCAAGAAUCACUCGUCGUCUGAAAAUCGAUCGAUUUAGCAGAAAUCGCGAAUCCGUAUUCCGUCUGCAACAUCUGGAAUCAGAAUCGGAAGAAACCGUCGGGGAAAUCGCGUCUUCCGUCUUCUAGCAGAAAUCGCGAUUCCGUAUUCCGUCUGAAAGAACUGGAAUCGGAAGAAACAGCCGGGAAAAAAAACGCGUUGUCGUCGGAAGUGAAUGGAGGUGGAUCGAAGACAGGAGGUGGCGUCGAUUUCACCUUCACAGAAGAAAAGAUCUGAUACCAUCUUGGAAUCUCAAAUGCUCUGUAAAGAUA
RNAcentral lists this long non-coding RNA (481 nucleotides) under Zostera marina. RNAcentral's name for it is "long non-coding RNA (ZMAR_LNC002549)". The record is from RNAcentral. Lineage: Eukaryota; Viridiplantae; Streptophyta; Magnoliopsida; Alismatales; Zosteraceae.